RNAcentral lists this ribosomal RNA (414 nucleotides) under uncultured bacterium. RNAcentral describes it as "bacterial SSU rRNA". It matches the Rfam family "Bacterial small subunit ribosomal RNA", at positions 355 to 794 of the family's 1533-position model. The record is from RNAcentral.
UAGGGAAUCUUGCGCAAUGGGCGAAAGCCUGACGCAGCAACGCCGCGUGGGGGAUGAAGGCUCUCGGGUUGUAAACCCCUUUCAGCAGGGACGCGGUACCUGCAGAAGAAGCCCCGGCCAACUACGUGCCAGCAGCCGCGGUAACACGUAGGGGGCAAGCGUUGUCCGGAUUUAUUGGGCGUAAAGAGCUCGUAGGCGGCUCGGUAAGUCGGGUGUGAAACUCAGGGCUCAACCCUGAGACGCCACCUGAUACUGCUGGGCUAGAGUCCGGUAGGGGAGCGUGGAAUUCCUGGUGUAGCGGUGAAAUGCGCAGAUAUCAGGAGGAACACCAGCGGCGAAGGCGGCGCUCUGGGCCGGAACUGACGCUGAGGAGCGAAAGCGUGGGGAGCAAACAGGAUUAGAUACCCUUGUAGU